This 287-nucleotide unclassified non-coding RNA is filed under the name Hevea brasiliensis (rubber tree). The record is from RNAcentral. Lineage: Eukaryota; Viridiplantae; Streptophyta; Magnoliopsida; Malpighiales; Euphorbiaceae.
GAGGGCUUCCCCGGCUUCCCCGGGUAUCCGGGCAACAGGGGCGCUCCCGGGAUAAACGGCACGAAGGGCUACCCCGGCCUCAAGGGGGACGAGGGAGAAGCCGGGGACCCCGGAGACGAUAACAACGACAUUGCACCCCGAGGAGUCAAAGGAGCAAAGGGGUACCGGGGUCCCGAGGGCCCCCAGGGACCCCCAGGACACCAAGGACCGCCUGGGCCGGACGAAUGCGAGAUUUUGGACAUCAUCAUGAAAAUGUGCUCUUGCUGUGAAUGCAAGUGCGGCCCCAU